UACCGAGGUCCCAAGCGUUGUUCGGAUUCACUGGGCGUAAAGGGUGCGUAGGUGGCCAGGUAAGUUUGGUGUGAAAGCUCGGAGCUUAACUCCGAAAAGUCAUUGAAUACUAUCUGGCUGGAGGGUCGGAGGGGAGACUGGAAUUCUCGGUGUAGCAGUGAAAUGCGUAGAUAUCGAGAGGAACACCAGUGGCGAAGGCGAGUCUCUGGACGACUCCUGACACUGAGGCACGAAAGCUAGGGGAGCAAACAGG
RNAcentral lists this ribosomal RNA (253 nucleotides) under uncultured bacterium. Its description in RNAcentral is "partial 16S ribosomal RNA". It matches the Rfam family "Bacterial small subunit ribosomal RNA", at positions 524 to 776 of the family's 1533-position model. The record is from RNAcentral.